Molecule: long non-coding RNA, 300 nt
Filed under: Panax ginseng (ginseng)
Lineage: Eukaryota; Viridiplantae; Streptophyta; Magnoliopsida; Apiales; Araliaceae
Description: long non-coding RNA (PGIN_LNC017738)
Source: RNAcentral
GGGUAUAAAUUUCCUAAGUUGACUUCAAAUCAAACGGACUCCUUUAUUAAACGGCAGUAUAAUACACCGCAACAAUUUUAAUAUCCAAUAAUCCUCAGUCCGACUCCGACAAAUUCAGAGUGCUUGCUGAUUUUGAACUGAAUUGAAAAGGGAUGGAAGGCGUGAUUUCGAUGAGAGAAACCCCAAUUGGUAUUAGGGUUCCGUCAUCGUACCUGAAUCAGAGUCUUCACAGACCGACGGCAUUCGGAGCAAUCACAUUUCGAAGGUCAAUUAAUUAUAUCCCUGGAGCUUUAANNNNNN